AGUAUAACAAGUCUCAUGUUGACACGCACAGUCUUACGCAUGUUUUUCUUUCUGAUUUAUUCGUUCUUAAUAAUCUCACUAUGUUUGACAAUAAUUAAGCUGCCUUACUUCAACAGAAAAGACAUAAUUGAAUAUCAAGGUAUCAAUGUCUUCUUAUUUUAUAAAGGUUAUUUUGUAACGCAUUCUAUCGAAUAUUGAUUUUAUUAAGAAGAUAAACCACAAAUUAUUUAUUUAUAGCAGCUAAAAAUGAAUCUAUACUAGGAUAUAAUUUUACAACAUAUGUUGUAGUUUUACUUCCAUUUCAUGCAAACGUGAAUGCAGAUCUCGAGUAUGAAGAAAAAGGAAGAGCGUGCUGGAUAAAGCAACCAGAGCAACUAAUUCACUUGUCCUAUAUUAUUAAAUAAUUUAUAUAUGUAUGUAUAUUAAAAAUUAGACAGACACAUAUACAUCAUAAGGUAAAAAAACAUUGGACAGUAUUCAUACUUAAAAAAUUAAACAGUGCAUUAAUAAUUGGAAUAAAGUGACAAGAAUUUUACGUAUGACCCGUUUUCACGAACCGUAAAUUUUCAUAAAUUUAUUAAAUUAAAUCUUUAUUAUAGAUAUAAUUAACCAUAAAUCAUGAAAAUUUUAAAAAAGGUAUGAUUUUUUUGUAAGAUAAAAAUGACAGAUAAAUGGAAGAUUAAGAUUACCUUUUUGGUACGGUCAAUCGUCUUUGUCUCCACAUGUUAUCUUUGACCAUCAUUUCAAAACUUUUCAUGUUUUUAAAUUCCAAAGAAACAAAUAUAUCAAUGUAUUAAAGAAUAAGAAUUAAUGUUUGCAAAAAAAUAAGAUAAACUAAUAAGGUUAAAA
Long non-coding RNA from Chelonus insularis, 849 nucleotides. RefSeq lists it as uncharacterized. Lineage: Eukaryota; Metazoa; Arthropoda; Insecta; Hymenoptera; Braconidae. The record is from RefSeq and is a predicted model, not a curated record. The transcript is spliced from 3 exons.